RNAcentral lists this microRNA precursor (82 nucleotides) under Jaculus jaculus (lesser Egyptian jerboa). RNAcentral describes it as "miRNA (ENSJJAG00000006843.1)". The record is from RNAcentral. Lineage: Eukaryota; Metazoa; Chordata; Mammalia; Rodentia; Dipodidae.
UUGCCCAGCUCCCAUGCAAAAGCUAGCUUCAAGGCAGAAGGUGCCUGUAUUCCCAGCUCUGGGGAGGCGGAGGCAGGAGGAU